Molecule: transfer RNA, 63 nt
Filed under: Diaphorina citri (Asian citrus psyllid)
Lineage: Eukaryota; Metazoa; Arthropoda; Insecta; Hemiptera; Psyllidae
Rfam family: tRNA
About the family: Transfer RNA (tRNA) molecules are approximately 80 nucleotides in length. Their secondary structure includes four short double-helical elements and three loops (D, anti-codon, and T loops). Further hydrogen bonds mediate the characteristic L-shaped molecular structure. tRNAs have two regions of fundamental functional importance: the anti-codon, which is responsible for specific mRNA codon recognition, and the 3' end, to which the tRNAs corresponding amino acid is attached (by aminoacyl-tRNA synthetases). tRNAs cope with the degeneracy of the genetic code in two manners: having more than one tRNA (with a specific anti-codon) for a particular amino acid; and 'wobble' base-pairing, i.e. permitting non-standard base-pairing at the 3rd anti-codon position.
Source: Rfam by way of RNAcentral
GCUCCCAUGGCGUAGUGGUGACUGCGCUCGCCUUGCACGCGGGAGACCCGGGUUCGAUUCCCG